Molecule: ribosomal RNA, 207 nt
Filed under: uncultured Anaerolineaceae bacterium
Lineage: Bacteria; Bacillati; Chloroflexota; Anaerolineae; Anaerolineales; Anaerolineaceae
Description: partial 16S ribosomal RNA
Rfam family: Bacterial small subunit ribosomal RNA
Source: RNAcentral
UGUGUAGGCGGUUUGAAAGGUUGGAUGUGAAAGCUCCCGGCUUAACUGGGAGAGGUCGUUCAAAACCAUCAGACUUGAGAGUGGUAGAGGGAGGUGGAAUUCCGGGUGUAGUGGUGAAAUGCGUAGAUAUCCGGAGGAACACCAGUGGCGAAAGCGGCCUCCUGGCCCAUUUCUGACGCUCAGACACGAAAGCUAAGGUAGCAAACG